UUCUAUUAGAAUUAAUUAAUAGUAUAAUCUGCUCAAUGAAUAUUUUAAAUAGCCGCUAUAGUGCUAAGGUAGCAUAAUCAUUCGUCUUUUAAUUAAAGACUAGAACAAAAGAUUUUACAUUUUAAUUAAUUUAUUUUAAAUAAAAAUUUAAAUUUUCUUAAAUGUUAAAAGACAUUUAAUUUUAGAAAGACGAUAAGACCCUAUUGAACUUAACUUUAAGUUAAACUGGGGCAGUUAAUUAAUUAAUAUUUUAAUUUUUAUUCAAUAAAUAUCUAAUAUUAUUAUAAUAUAAUAUAGUUACCUUAGGGAUAACAGCAUAAUAUAUAUUUUAAGAUCUUAUAAAAAUAUAAGUUUAUGACCUCGAUGUUGAAUAAUUAUCUAUAUUACGCAAUAGUAAUAAAAGAAAGUCUGUUCGACUUAUAAUAAAUUACA
RNAcentral lists this ribosomal RNA (432 nucleotides) under Pteroneta cf. saltans MR368. Its description in RNAcentral is "partial 16S ribosomal RNA". The record is from RNAcentral. Lineage: Eukaryota; Metazoa; Arthropoda; Arachnida; Araneae; Clubionidae.